GCGUAAAGGGUGCGUAGGUGGCAGAAUAAGUCUGAAGUAAAAGGCUGCAGCUCAACUGCAGUAUGCUUUGGAAACUGUUCAGCUAGAGUGCGGAAGAGGGCGAUGGAAUUCCAUGUGUAGCGGUAAAAUGCGUAGAUAUAUGGAGGAACACCAGUGGCGAAGGCGGUCGCCUGGUCCGUAACUGACACUGAGGCACGAAAGCGUGGGGAGCAAAUAGGAUUAGAUACCCUAGUAGUCCACGCCGUAAACGAUGAGAACUAAGUGUUGGAGAAAUUCAGUGCUGCAGUUAACGCAAUAAGUUCUCCGCCUGGGGAGUAUGCACGCAAGUGUGAAACUCAAAGGAAUUGACGGGGACCCGCACAAGCGGUGGAGUAUGUGGUUUAAUUCGAAGCAACGCGAAGAACCUUACCAGGCCUUGACAUGGAACUAAAGGCCCUAGAGAUAGGGAGAUAGUUAUAGUUCACACAGGUGGUGCAUGGUUGUCGUCAGCUCGUGUCGUGAGAUGUUGGGUUAAGUCCCGCAACGAGCGCAACCCUUGUCUUCUGUUACCAUCAUUCAGUUGGGGACUCAGGAGAGACUGCCGGUGACAAACCGGAGGAAGGUGGGGAUGACGUCAAAUCAUCAUGCCCCUUAUGGCCUGGGCUACACACGUACUACAAUGGCGGCUACAAAGAGGAGCGAAGAAGUGAUUUGGAGCAAAUCUCAUAAAGGUCGUCUCAGUUCGGAUUGAAGUCUGCAACUCGACUUCAUGAAGUCGGAAUCGUCUAGUAAUCGCAGAUCAGCAUGCUG
Molecule: ribosomal RNA, 789 nt
Filed under: uncultured Bacillota bacterium
Lineage: Bacteria; Bacillati; Bacillota
Description: bacterial SSU rRNA
Rfam family: Bacterial small subunit ribosomal RNA
Source: RNAcentral